This is a long non-coding RNA of Oreochromis aureus, 357 nucleotides long. RefSeq lists it as uncharacterized. The record is from RefSeq and is a predicted model, not a curated record. The transcript is spliced from 2 exons. NCBI's taxonomy places the organism in Eukaryota, Metazoa, Chordata, Actinopteri, Cichliformes, Cichlidae.
CUCAGUAUGCGCUCCCACCCCUGGCCCACGCACCUGGGGAUAAUCAGCACACCAGCCGCUGAUUACGAGUCCUACUUAAGAUGGUGGAUCUGCUCUACUCGUCGCUGGAUCGUUCAGCCAUCAGCAUUUCCUCCGGACCCGUUCCCUGUGCACUGUGACUAAGCGUGAGCAAGAGUGGUAGUGGGAAGAAGAGGAGUUGUUUGUGUUCGCGAGAGCUGUGUGGAAAUCUUCCCUCCCUGGACUCCUGCCCCUUUCACUCCCGGACCCUGGAACCCCGACCCCUUUUCCCCAGACACCGUUGUGUAUAUAUAUUUCACUGUGGAGGACACUGUAAAUGAAUUCACUUUUGGUUUGAAG